GGUGGAUAUUCAAGUCGGUCGUUAAAUUUCAGAGCUCAACUCUGAAGCCGUGAUCGAAACUGUCUAUCUAGAGUCUGGAAGAGGCAAGCGGAAUUGCUGGUGUAGCAGUAAAAUGCGUUAAUAUCAGCAGGAACACCAAAAGCGAAGGCAGCUUGCUAGGACAGUACUGACACUGAGGUACGAAGGCGUGGGGAGCGAAGCGGAUUAGAUACCCGCGUAGUCCACGCUGUAAACAUUGGACACUAGGCAUUGGAAGUAUCGACCCUUUCAGUGCCGCUACGAUUUAGUUAACGCGUUAAGUGUCCCGCCUGUGAAGUACGGCCGCAAGGCUAAAACACAAAGGAAUAGACGGGGACCCGCACAAGUGGUGGAGCAUGUGGUUUAAUUCGACAAUAAGCGAAGAACCUUACCAAGGUUUGACAUCUAGCUGCACGCCCUAGGAAACUAGGGUUCCUCCGAGGGUGCUAGGCAGGUGCUGCAUGGCUGCCGUCAGCUCGUGCUGUGAAGUGUACCGUUAAGUCGGGUAACGAGCGCAACCCCUGUCCUAAGUUACAUUGUCUUAGGAGACUGCCUCGUAAAACGAGGAGGAAGGUGGGGACGACGUCAAGUCAGCAUGGUCCUUACACCUUGGGCUACACACGUGCUACAAUGGGUAGUAACAAUGGGUAGCUAAGUCGUGAGACGGAGCUAAUCCCACUCAAACCUACCCCAAGUUCGGAUUGAAGGCUGCAAUUCGCCUUCAUGAAGUCGGAAUCACUAGUAA
Molecule: ribosomal RNA, 763 nt
Filed under: uncultured bacterium
Lineage: Bacteria
Description: bacterial SSU rRNA
Rfam family: Bacterial small subunit ribosomal RNA
Source: RNAcentral